RNAcentral lists this ribosomal RNA (301 nucleotides) under uncultured bacterium. RNAcentral describes it as "partial 16S ribosomal RNA". It matches the Rfam family "Bacterial small subunit ribosomal RNA", at positions 509 to 809 of the family's 1533-position model. The record is from RNAcentral.
CAGUCGCCGCGGGAAUACGAAGGGGGCUAGCGUUGUUCGGAAUCACUGGGCGUAAAGCGCACGUAGGCGGACUUUUAAGUCAGGGGUGAAAUCCCAAGGCUCAACCUUGGAACUGCCUUUGAUACUGGAAGUCUUGAGUUCGGGAGAGGUGAGUGGAACUGCGAGUGUAGAGGUGAAAUUCGUAGAUAUUCGGAAGAACACCAGUGGCGAAGGCGGCUCACUGGACUGGUAUUGACGCUGAGGUGCGAAAGCGUGGGGAGCAAACAGGAUUAGAUACCCCAGUAGUCCCUGUCUCUUAUAA